RNAcentral lists this transfer RNA (74 nucleotides) under Dorea sp. RNAcentral's name for it is "tRNA-His". It matches the Rfam family "tRNA". From Rfam's summary of the family: Transfer RNA (tRNA) molecules are approximately 80 nucleotides in length. Their secondary structure includes four short double-helical elements and three loops (D, anti-codon, and T loops). The record is from RNAcentral. Lineage: Bacteria; Bacillati; Bacillota; Clostridia; Lachnospirales; Lachnospiraceae.
GUGGGUAUGGUGCAGUUGGUUAACGCGUCGGAUUGUGGUUCCGAAGACCGUGGGUUCGAGUCCCACUACCCACC